CGGGGGAGGGGGAGCAAAGAAGGGGCCACCGCCUCACGGCACACCUUCUGUCCCCUCCGGUGGCCCCCAGCUACCCCCAGCUGGGAGCUGUUUGGGGAGACACAGGCAGCCCCCACUUUGACGGGCUGAGGUUUCAUGAGCCCGUGGAAAGAAGACCCAGCUAAAAUUAACCGUUAUCAAGCUGUCAGCCUGGAAAUAAACCCUCCUCCUAUUGGCUGCUGGUGAUGUCACUGCUGGGUUAAUAAUAACCUGCGAAUGCAUAACUGACCAGCUGGGCAUGUGCCUUCCUGCGGGGCCAAGGCCAGUGGUCACCCUGGGAGCUGCUGCCCGGGCAGUGACUUGGGGGCAGGAUGGGGGUCAGGGCUGAGCACACCCUCCAGCCUUGGGGUGUCUCAGAAUGACCUCAACUCCUGGCCUUGGGCCACAGGCUCCUGUCUGUCCCCAGGACUUCCGGUGUUCACCCUCACGUGCGGGGUCAGUCACAUCUCAUCUCCCAGCCUACCUGGGCAGCAGGACCCUGGACGGCCUUGGGGUCAAGGUCCUCCCUCCCCCAGCUCCCCAGGCUGGACAACCAGGGAACUGAGCUGCCCAUGAGUCCGCACAUUAGGUGGUGUCCAUGGAGGAGGAACUGUCGGCUGCUGCGCUCCCCUCGGAAAAACAGACCGGAACGAGGGAUUCUCCUCUUGCCCUUGAAGAAGAGAACUACCAAGAUGCGAGAAGGCCUGUAAGGGGCCACAGGUCAAGGAACCCCUAAGACCUGUGAGUGGCCUCCAGCUGUCCAGCCAAAGAAAGCAGCCAUGUGACCUUAGAAGAGGACCGCGAGCUUCGUAAGGAAACUGAUGGCUUGGUGGCACCCGUCUGAAGCCCUGAGCAGAGGACCCAGUAAGCCGUGCCUGGACCCCUGACCCAGGGAGCUGGGUGUGCACAAUAAACGCAUGUUUUGUAAAGCCA
This is a long non-coding RNA of Lynx canadensis (Canada lynx), 951 nucleotides long. RefSeq lists it as uncharacterized. Lineage: Eukaryota; Metazoa; Chordata; Mammalia; Carnivora; Felidae. The record is from RefSeq and is a predicted model, not a curated record. The transcript is spliced from 2 exons.